Molecule: ribosomal RNA, 253 nt
Filed under: uncultured bacterium
Lineage: Bacteria
Description: partial 16S ribosomal RNA
Rfam family: Bacterial small subunit ribosomal RNA
Source: RNAcentral
UACGUAGGGACCGAGCGUUGUCCGGAUUCAUUGGGCGUAAAGAGCUCGUAGGCGGCUGCUCAAGUCGAAUGUGAAAACUCGAGGCUCAACCUCGAGCCUGCAUUCGAUACUGGGCGGCUAGAGUCUGGUAGGGGGAUCUGGAAUUCCUGGUGUAGCGGUGAAAUGCGCAGAUAUCAGGAGGAACACCGGUGGCGAAGGCGGGUCUCUGGGCCGUAACUGACGCUGAGGAGCGAAAGCAUGGGGAGCGAACAGG